UACGUAGGUGGCAAGCGUUGUCCGGAUUUACUGGGCGUAAAGAGCGCGCAGGCGGCUGGGCAAGUCCGAUGUGAAAGCUUCCGGCUUAACUGGAAAAUUGCAACGGAAACUGCUCGGCUUGAAGGUGGGAGAGGGUAGCGGAAUUCCCGGUGUAGUGGUGAAAUGCGUAGAUAUCGGGAGGAACACCAGUGGCGAAGGCGGCUACCUGGCCCACUCUUGACGCUGAGGCGCGAAAGCUAGGGGAGCAAACGGG
This 253-nucleotide ribosomal RNA is filed under the name uncultured bacterium. RNAcentral's name for it is "partial 16S ribosomal RNA". It matches the Rfam family "Bacterial small subunit ribosomal RNA", at positions 524 to 776 of the family's 1533-position model. The record is from RNAcentral.